Molecule: ribosomal RNA, 253 nt
Filed under: uncultured bacterium
Lineage: Bacteria
Description: partial 16S ribosomal RNA
Rfam family: Bacterial small subunit ribosomal RNA
Source: RNAcentral
UACGGAGGGGGCAAGCGUUGUCCGGAUUUACUGGGCGUAAAGAGCGCGUAGGCGGUUGUUCAAGUCGGGUGUGAAAGCCCUCGGCUCAACUGGGGAAGUGCAUUCGAUACUGAUCGACUAGAGGGCAGGAGAGGGUAGUGGAAUUCCCGGUGUAGUGGUGAAAUGCGUAGAUAUCUGGAGGAACACCGGUGGCGAAGGCGGCAACCUGGACCAUGACUGACGCUGAGGAGCGAAAGCCAGGGGAGCAAACGGG